Molecule: long non-coding RNA, 225 nt
Organism: Etheostoma cragini (Arkansas darter)
Lineage: Eukaryota; Metazoa; Chordata; Actinopteri; Perciformes; Percidae
Exons: 3
Source: RefSeq, a predicted model, not a curated record
UCCAGUGUAAAGGAUCACAGCGGACCAGACGCCCCCCUAACAGCCCUCAUACAGGACUGCAGCAGGACUUCAAACAUCUGGUCAGGAUGAAGAGAAACCAGGAGGAGGAAAUUGAGGAAAUCGAAGAAGAAGAUGACGAUGUUAAUGCUCCAGCCUGGACUGUGCAUAAAGUGGCAGCGCCUCCAGACCAGAGGUCUCUCUUCUUCUCUCGGUCUUUUCACUGAU